This is a long non-coding RNA of Gallus gallus (chicken), 6076 nucleotides long. RefSeq lists it as uncharacterized. The record is from RefSeq and is a predicted model, not a curated record. The transcript has 3 exons. NCBI's taxonomy places the organism in Eukaryota, Metazoa, Chordata, Aves, Galliformes, Phasianidae.
CUUCCGCUUCCGCGCGCCCGGCCGCGCAUGCGCGCGGAUCGCUGUGAGGCGGCCCGGUGCGCCCGCGCUCCGCGGGUCUGGCUUCGUUCCUGUGCGAGGCAGCCCUCGAGUGUGGCCGCAGACUCUUUUUUUUUUUUUUUUUUUUUGAUGUUUUUAGCAGUCAUCUCUGCCCAGAGAGCAAUUAGCAGUGGCUCAGAGCUGCAGACAGCUUGUAAUGGAGGGUGAUUUCAGUGCUCCCAUCUGGGACUCACGCCUUGAGCACCCAUCGCUGAUGUGAUCUCCUGGCUACCUCAGGGCAGCCCCAUCUGCUGAGUGGCCUGGUUCCCUCUGGAAGCCGUGGGCUCUUGCCCUGCUGUGUUUUUCUGCACUGAAAUGGGCGAAUAGUGCGGUGGUCAUCACUGAUGCAGAAAGCUCUUCCUCAGUACUGACAGGUUCUUCUAAAAGCUACGUAUUAUCCUGAAAAGAGAGCACCCAACAUCUAAAGUCAGUUUGGUGUCUGGGCAGAUUUCAGGCUUUCAUUGGGACUUUUGCCCCACUCCUGCAGGCAUUCAAGGGCAGGCUGGAUGUGGCUCUGGGAAGCCUGGUCUAGUGGUUUGUGACCCUACGCAUAGCAGCGGGCUUGAAACUAGAUGAUCAUUGUGGUCCUUUUCAACCCAGGCCAUUCUGUGAUUCAUUCUAUGAUUCAUUAUGAUUUUGGCCCUUGUCCCAGAUCUUUUCUUUCAGUGUCCACUUUCUUCUGUCAUAGAGGACAAUUGUUAACAUUUCAAGCCAAAGCUGCUCCAACCUGAAAAUACACACUCAUAGCAGAAACUGGUCUGGAAGGUGAACUAAGCAUGCCUAGUAUGUGAGGGAACAGGGCUGCCUUAGGAGCUGCUAGCUACGGAUGACUGCAGGAGCAAGUAACUGAAAACAGGCUGAUGGGUUGGAACACUGAAAACGUGGGUUUACUGCUGGAAGCCCAGACAGGAUGACAGGAUGGUCAGAUGCCUCUGUAUCAAGGUUUGGAAUAUGAUUCAAGGCCUGCGUCAGCACUGCUGCAAACUGGCAGGUUUGUGCUUGCACACCCAGAGGAAGCAGGCAGAGAGCACUAGCCCUAGAUUGACCUCUUCUACAGGAGUUUGGCAGAUACUGGGGUGCAGAAAUACCAGCAACUCAGAAUAAGUUCCUAUUUUAGAAGCUGCACUGUAGGUUCUCAAAAAUAACACUUCUACUUCCUGUUCAGUCACAACAUUACAGGCAUACAGUAAAGUUGGCAAACAAAAUGAGGCUUUAAGGGAAAUACAUCAGAACUGUUGUAUUUUAUGACCCUAGACUUGCAUGUCUCACGUAUAUAGCCACUAUCAAACCUAAAGUAAAGGCCACAUUUUGAUAACUUAAGCUUUGCAUCAUGUGUGAAAAAAAGAGAUGUGUUAGUCUAGCAAACUUGGGGAAGUACUGGGGGGAGGAAAGAUAUUUUCAACAAACUUCUCAAACAUUGUUCUCAAGCCAAAAACACUAAAAGAAUUCAGCUUCAUGUAGCUUGCAAUUUCAGUGCUCUAUUCUCUACACAUUCCUUCUUCUACUGGGAAGAGUCAAUCUCAGCAGACUCUUAAGUUUGUAGAUAAUUCAUUCAUUAAUUUGAAAACUGAGCUAGUCUGUACCAGAUUUAUGAAAUAAUACGAGUAUGAGUGUAUUUGUGCUUUGAACUCAGGAAUGAUCUUGUUGGCUGUCAGCCAGAAAUGUUAUUGCUGGAGAAAUUUAAUUGUGUCUUGGGUUUGGUGCCUUCCUGAAAUCUCAGGUGUGCCCAGGGAUGGAAGAUUCUCACACAGCUGUUUAAAGUGAAAUUGUAGGAAAUCUUGGCAUCUGCAACAAGAUCAGCUGUGAAGCAUGCCUCCAAAAUGUCCUUGAAUUAUAUUUAUAUAAGCAUGUGCAGUAUAAGGGAAUAAAAGCAGUGAGUCAAGAAAAACAGUGAAUUGUACAAAUGAUUGUAGAUAGUUAAUUAAGUCGCCUAAAAUUUUGAUUUGAAUCCUCACACCCUAUCUUCACUGCCCAACAAGUCUAGCUGAAAUAAAUGAUGUUUGGAUCUAAAAUUCCUCCUAUUUGGUGCAGGUUGCUAGUAGUCCAGAAUUAUUCAAGGAAUCACAGAAUUGUUGAAUGGCUUGGUUUGGAAAGAACAAAAUCCCUUGCCAUGGGCAGUGUUUAAGUACCAUUGGACUUUUUUUUUUUUCUUCAUAUUAUUGUAGUUGCUAGAAUGGUACAAGACAGAGAUGAUAGGUACUGGAACCUGUGUAUUGUAUUACAUUGACACAGAAGGGGUUGACAUGUCUAUUAAUGUCUUUCAAACACAGAUUUUAUUGUUUAAAACAAUAUGAAUCAAUUUUUAGCUCUUUGCUUCAUGAUUUAAAAGUAUAAAACUCAAUAAAACGGUUUAAAUAUUAUACAUUCUGGAUUAUAGCAAUACAAAAAAAACCACCUGUUUCUGUUUACUCUUAAGCUGUUUUUCACUUCCUUUGUCAGAAGAGUCUUUUUACCAAAUCCAACCAAGUGGUGCACCAGCUCUCUAUUUGAAAAGUCCACCUAUAGUCUUGACCCUGUAAUGCCUGUAUUGAAUUUUAUCUAUAAAUACAAAACUGCAUUAAGGAUCUCACACAUAUGUUUAAAGAUAUGAUCACUAAGUGUCCAAAAGGCCCAAUUUGCCCCUUUUCAAAACUCGCUGAAAAAAAAAUCCCAUCAACUUCAAGGUAGAAGAGAGCAGGCUUCUUAAUUCUUGGUUAAAUUUUACCCUAAUCCACCUGAAAGAAAAAGCAUACGUAUAAGGCAUUUUUUAUUAUGUGUUUGAAGCGUGGCUUAGUGCCCAUACAACCUUAGUUUCGGCUGGAAGCUUCACUUUGUACAUGACUCAAAUGAUUUUAUUACUGCAGUAUAUGGAUGGAUCUUCCUACAGCUCUUCGCAAAGAGUAAACCAUAUUGUAAGCAACAGAUAUGAUGCAAAUAAUAUAAGGAUGUUACUGCCAACGCUUGGUUAAAAAUUAAAUUGGUGGUACUGGAAUGAACAUUCCGGACAGGUGUAUCUACAGUCAAAUGGUGUGGAUUACUGGUGCAGUGCAAAUGUUAACAAGGAAUGCGUAAUAACUUAGUAAGAUGUAUAUCACAGAACCACAAAAUCACAGGGGCUUGAAGGGACUUCUGGAGAUCAUUGAGUCCAACCCACUGUUAAAGCAGGUUCCCUACAAUAGGUCACACAGGAAAGCAUCUGGUUGGGUUUCGAGUAUCUCAAGAGAAGGAGGCACCACGACCUCUGGGCAGCCUGUUCCAGUGCUCUGUCACCCUCAGGGUGAAGAAGUUUUUUCUCAUGUUUUUAUGGAACUUACUGUGUUCCAGUUUGUGCCCCUUACCACUUGUCAUGUUGCUGGGCACCAUCAAAAAACAGCCUGGCCCCAUCCACUUGAUUCCUGCCCACUAGAUGUUUAUAAGCAUUUGUAAGAUUGCCUCUCAGUCUUCUCCAGGCUGAACUGCCCCAGGUCUCUCAGGCUUUCCUCAUACAGAACAUACUCCAGGACCCUAGUCAUCUCUGUGGCCCUUCGUUGGACUCUCUUUAGAAGUUACCUGUCUUUCUUGAACUGAGGAGCCCAGAACUGGGCACAAUACUCCAGAUGUGGCCUCACCAGGGCAGAGUAGAGGGGAAGGAUCACCUCCCUUGACCUGCUGGUCAUGCUUAUUUUUAACACACCCAAGAAUACUUGGUUAUCCCUCUCAGCCACAAGGGCACACUUCUGGCUUAUAAGUAUAUGUUUAGAUGUUAAGCUGUUAGUAUUGCUUUUGCUGUUCUAUAUCCUGCAUCAUAUAGCAAAAAAGAAGCAAAACAAUGCCAACAGAUCACUCUGCAACCUAAAAUCAGAAAACAGAGCUCUGAUCUACUCUAGGUUAAACCAGUUCCUGAAUUUUCCACUUUGAUUUUACCUAAUGAUCUUCUUGGAGACAAAAGCUGUGUGCCAGCUCUAGUUCUACCAGGGUUAGCGCUCAGUUCAGUACCAAGUUGUAGAUGUUUUUCAAGGGACGAAUUUGGGACAAAAUGGGUCUUAAUACAUCAGGGUACAGUUUGUUCUGUAUUUGCACACAGGCUAAAGCUGCUUUGGAGUCAGCUGUGUGCAUAACCAUGCAGGUAGCAGGAUCUGUCCUCAGCUUCUCCAUUCCGCCAUGAGUCUGCUUGCACUACAGGAGAGCAUCCCAGCUCAGAAAGUGAGUUAGGACAAUCACUCUGGAGUUAAAAAUAGCAAGUAUUUAUGUGCCUCUUUGAUGACAUCAACUGCAUAGACUUAAUAGCUGACAACAGUCCGAACUGGGCACAUUAUCAUUAUAUCCCACAUACAGUUCAUCUCAGAUUUCUACAAAAAGCAACCCUUUUUGUAUAAAAUAUCCUUUAUAAAAACUUGUUUUCCUGCCUGAUUACCCUUUCAUGUAAGCAUAGCACAUGUUUUCACUGUGUUUUGGUUGCUGAAUCUUGUGGCUAAAUGCAGCAGUGUCUUUCAAGUAGGCUUUGAUUUGUCUUCAUAGUCACAUUUUAUUCAGGACAUUCUGCUUUCACUAGAAAUAGUCACCAUGAAUGUUUGCCCAUUUUUUAAAACACUGUCAGGUCUAUAGAUGAUAAGUGCUAUGCAAAUGCAAAGUGGUAUUAUUCAUUUGUUUCAGAGCCGGAGUUUAUUCAGUUAUUAUGGACAUAAACUGAGUAAUUAGUUGCACUGCCAGUUGAUGCCUAAAAAUAAUUCUUAGGCAGGGUUUGAAUUACUUGCCUUCUGUUGAGCUAAAUAAUCUCAUCAUAGCAUGAUUGAUGAUUAAAUCAUUAAAAUGGAUUUUAUAUUUCAUAGUUCAGUAUCUUUCAUUUUAGAAACACAUUCUAUGCAGACAAACUUGUAUCCAGAUACAUCUUUUACAGAACCCGUAUGAAGACCUCAGAACUAAUGAAUUAGCACUGUGCAGUUUAUUCUCCAAUUAUUGCACUUAUCAAAGAAAGCCAUCUGUGGUCUUUGUUUUACUCAGUUUCAGGGAAACAGAUCACAUACAGUCCUCACGGGGAAGUUAUAAUUAUGAAACCAAAAGCCUUUUAUGAGGUACAAUAUGAAAGAACAGACAAUAAAUCUGUUUAAUUUUGAACGUUCAACCUAAGUACUGUACAUUAUGAAUUUCACCUUUCCUCUAUUCAGAGUCCUCUGUUACGCUGCUUCUUUCUUCUCUGAUUUUAUACCUUUCCAUUCACAUUUUCCAUUCUCUAUGCUACACAAACGGAGCUAGAAUCCAAGUUUAAAAUUGUCACUACAAUUUAGAUGCAAAAUGUUCAGUUUGUGUCCAGCAGAGCUGGGAUAAAUCUGUUGUUUUUUUAAGUGUUGACUCAUUGCUCUAACAGAAAGGGACAGUUUACUCUCUAAUUCUCAACCUGGAAGAUUUGGGGCAGGUUCCCACCUCUGAAGCACUUCCUGAAUCAUACCGGUACGUAGGUACCACAUAAUUGAGAGCAUACCAAAUUCCAAACUCAGGUUGAGGGGCCGUAUUUGACAGAUCCUUGAUUGCCUUAGCUUGUUAUGCCAUGGGACUGUGAGCCAAAGGGAAAGGGGAAAAUUCAGUCUUCAGGAAAACACACCUUCCUUCUUGGAUUGCCGUGAGUAAUUUGUAAGAGAUGUGGUGAUUCACUUUGACAACACCAAAAAAAAAAAAAUGUUUCUAGCAUAAUCCAACAAAAAAGUUGCAAGUAUGCUUUAUUUCACUAGUGUAAAAAUGUAUGAAGGCUUCUCUGAAAGUUUCGUCCGUAUGCAUGAUAAUAGUAUCCCUUGUUUAUUCUGUUUAGAUCCAGUUAUUUAGAGAUCAUGUUUCUAGACUUCUGCUGACUUCUCAGCUCUACAAAAAAUAAACAAACAGUGGUUAAGCAGUGAAGAUAGAGUAGCAAAGAUGUCGAAAUCAUAAGCAGCAUAGUUUCCUGUAAUAAAUGAGAAGUGAAAUCUGCGUCUCUUCCACAAGGGUGACUGAAGGUUACUGAGGAACAAUGGCUUUUUUUCUACAUUACAGUUUAAAUGAAAAAUCAUAUUAAAAUUGUAUGGACUGGCAA